ACUGGAAUCAUGAGUGUGUCACUCGUGAAUUUAAAAGGAAAAAUUAUGAUGUCACUUUUUAAAGUAGUGUUGUCCAAAGCUGGUGCCAGAAGACUCGGUAAGGCCAGAGACGCAAGCGUUAAUCAUCCUGAUAAGGCGUAAAGGGUUUGUAGGCAGCUUUAAUAAAAUUAAAGAUUGAAUCAUAUAGAGGUCAAGAGAAUUUCUAGAUUAGGGUUGAUAUCUGUAUAAACUAGAAAGAAUUCUAAUUAGCGAAGGCACUUUUCUAUCUAAUGAUUGACGCUGAUAAACGAAGGGGAGGAUCGACAAUAGGAUUAGAGACCCUGGCAUCCCUCUCUGUAAACGAUGAAUGGUAGUUGCUAGUAAUAAUAAUUAGUGACGAUGCUAACGCGUUAACCAUUCCGCCUUGUAAGUACUACUGCAAAGUUGAAAACAAAAAAAUUAGUCGGUUUCGGAGCAAACGAAGUGAAGCAUGUUAUUUAAUUC
This 483-nucleotide ribosomal RNA is filed under the name Hysterangium sp. T13345. Its description in RNAcentral is "partial small subunit ribosomal RNA". It matches the Rfam family "Bacterial small subunit ribosomal RNA", at positions 407 to 952 of the family's 1533-position model. The record is from RNAcentral. Lineage: Eukaryota; Fungi; Basidiomycota; Agaricomycetes; Hysterangiales; Hysterangiaceae.